RNAcentral lists this ribosomal RNA (178 nucleotides) under uncultured Streptococcus sp. Its description in RNAcentral is "partial 16S ribosomal RNA". It matches the Rfam family "Bacterial small subunit ribosomal RNA", at positions 1205 to 1382 of the family's 1533-position model. Lineage: Bacteria; Bacillati; Bacillota; Bacilli; Lactobacillales; Streptococcaceae. The record is from RNAcentral.
UGACCUGGGCUACACACGUGCUACAAUGGUUGGUACAACGAGUUGCGAGUCGGUGACGGCGAGCUAAUCUCUUAAAGCCAAUCUCAGUUCGGAUUGUAGGCUGCAACUCGCCUACAUGAAGUCGGAAUCGCUAGUAAUCGCGGAUCAGCACGCCGCGGUGAAUACGUUCCCGGGCCUU